RNAcentral lists this ribosomal RNA (722 nucleotides) under uncultured Lachnospiraceae bacterium. Its description in RNAcentral is "bacterial SSU rRNA". It matches the Rfam family "Bacterial small subunit ribosomal RNA", at positions 41 to 776 of the family's 1533-position model. Lineage: Bacteria; Bacillati; Bacillota; Clostridia; Lachnospirales; Lachnospiraceae. The record is from RNAcentral.
GGCGCGCCUAACACAUGCAAGUCGAACGAGCGAGAGAGAGCUUGCUUUCUCGAGCGAGUGGCGAACGGGUGAGUAACGCGUGAGGAACCUGCCUCAAAGAGGGGGACAACAGUUGGAAACGACUGCUAAUACCGCAUAAGCCCACGACCCGGCAUCGGGUUGAGGGAAAAGGAGCAAUCCGCUUUGAGAUGGCCUCGCGUCCGAUUAGCUAGUUGGUGAGGUAACGGCCCACCAAGGCGACGAUCGGUAGCCGGACUGAGAGGUUGAACGGCCACAUUGGGACUGAGACACGGCCCAGACUCCUACGGGAGGCAGCAGUGGGGAAUAUUGCACAAUGGGGGAAACCCUGAUGCAGCGACGCCGCGUGGAGGAAGAAGGUCUUCGGAUUGUAAACUCCUGUUGUUGAGGAAGAUAAUGACGGUACUCAACAAGGAAGUGACGGCUAACUACGUGCCAGCAGCCGCGGUAAAACGUAGGUCACAAGCGUUGUCCGGAAUUACUGGGUGUAAAGGGAGCGCAGGCGGGAAGGCAAGUUGGAAGUGAAAUCCAUGGGCUCAACCCAUGAACUGCUUUCAAAACUGUUUUUCUUGAGUAGUGCAGAGGUAGGCGGAAUUCCCGGUGUAGCGGUGGAAUGCGUAGAUAUCGGGAGGAACACCAGUGGCGAAGGCGGCCUACUGGGCACCAACUGACGCUGAGGCUCGAAAGUGUGGGUAGCAAACAGG